GAAAAUGAUUCGGUGCAAAGCCAUGGGUUAGAACUACGAUUGAAUUGGUUGGUUUAAUUGAUACUUAGGUGUUGGUUUUGAUUAACGGCGUUGCCUACCCUCAACCUCAUGUCGAUAUUGGAUGAUGAAAUGAAAUUUUCGUACUCAAGAUGUGGACGAUGAAAGACUGUUGUGUUAUGUCAAAUUUGUGUUGUAGAGUCGCAAAGCGUUAAGUGAGAAAGUUACACGUGAUAAGGGAG
Molecule: unclassified non-coding RNA, 239 nt
Filed under: Hevea brasiliensis (rubber tree)
Lineage: Eukaryota; Viridiplantae; Streptophyta; Magnoliopsida; Malpighiales; Euphorbiaceae
Source: RNAcentral